GACGAACGCUGGCGGCGUGCUUAACACAUGCAAGUCGAACGGAAAGGCCCUGCGUUUGUGGGGUGCUCGAUUGGCGAACGGGUGAGUAACACGUGAGUAACCUGCCCUUGACUUUGGGAUAACUUCAGGAAACUGGGGCUAAUACCGGAGAGGAGCUCCUGCUGCAUGGGGGGGGUUGGAAAGUUUCGGCGGUUUGGGCUGGACUCGCUGCUUAUCCGCUGGUUGGGGGGGUAGUUGAUUUCCAGGGCUUUGACGGGUAGCCGGCACGAGAGGGUGACCGGCCACAUUGGGACUGAGGUACGGCCCAGACUCCUACGGGCGGCAGCGGUGGGAAGUAUUGCACAAUGGCCCCACGCCUGUUGCAGCAACCCCGCGAUCGUGAUGCCGGCCUUUGGGUUGUAAACAGAUUUCGCCUGUGCCGAAGCGUUAGUGACGGUAAUGGGUAAAAAAGCCCCGGCUAACUACGUG
RNAcentral lists this ribosomal RNA (468 nucleotides) under uncultured bacterium. RNAcentral's name for it is "partial 16S ribosomal RNA". It matches the Rfam family "Bacterial small subunit ribosomal RNA", at positions 28 to 507 of the family's 1533-position model. The record is from RNAcentral.